ACGUAGGGAGCAAGCGUUGUCCGGAUUUAUUGGGCGUAAAGGGCUCGUAGGCGGUUUGGUAAGUCAGGUGUGAAAUCUCAGGGCUCAACUCUGAGAAGCCAUCUGAAACUGCCAUGACUAGAGUUCGGUAGAGGAGCGUGGAAUUUCCGGUGUAGCGGUGAAAUGCUCAGAUAUCGGGAGGAACACCAGCAGCGAAGGCGGCGCUCUGGGCCGAAACUGACGCUGAGGAGCGAAAGCGUGGGGAGCAAACAGG
Molecule: ribosomal RNA, 253 nt
Filed under: uncultured bacterium
Lineage: Bacteria
Description: partial 16S ribosomal RNA
Rfam family: Bacterial small subunit ribosomal RNA
Source: RNAcentral